CCUACGGGAGGCAGCAGUGGGGAAUAUUGGACAAUGGGGGCAACCCUGAUCCAGCCAUGCCGCGUGUGUGAAGAAUGCCCUCGGGUUGUAAAGCACUUUCAGUGAGGAAGAACGCCUGGUGGUUAAUACCCAUCAGGAAAGACAUCACUCACAGAAGAAGCACCGGCUAACUCCGUGCCAGCAGCCGCGGUAAUACGGAGGGUGCGAGCGUUAAUCGGAAUUACUGGGCGUAAAGCGCGCGUAGGUGGCUUGAUAAGCCGGUUGUGAAAGCCCCGGGCUCAACCUGGGAACGGCAUCCGGAACUGUCAAGCUAGAGUGCAGGAGAGGAAGGUAGAAUUCCCGGUGUAGCGGUGAAAUGCGUAGAGAUCGGGAGGAAUACCAGUGGCGAAGGCGGCCUUCUGGACUGACACUGACACUGAGGUGCGAAAGCGUGGGUAGCAAACAGGAUUAGAUACCCUUGUAGUC
RNAcentral lists this ribosomal RNA (465 nucleotides) under Vreelandella stevensii. Its description in RNAcentral is "partial 16S ribosomal RNA". It matches the Rfam family "Bacterial small subunit ribosomal RNA", at positions 338 to 795 of the family's 1533-position model. The record is from RNAcentral. Lineage: Bacteria; Pseudomonadati; Pseudomonadota; Gammaproteobacteria; Oceanospirillales; Halomonadaceae.